UUGAAAGGGAAACGAUUGAAGUCAGUCAUGCCGGUGAGAAAUCAGCUUACAGGCUACUGUGGGUGCACUUUUUCGCAAGGCAGGUUAACAUCGGUUUUUGUUGCGUCAUAAUGAUUGUAGGAAGGUGGCUCCUUCGGGAGUGUUAUAGCCUACUUUAGAUGGCGCGACGAGGACUGAGGAUUGCAGCGAAUGCUUUUGGCUACGGAUCUUUUCUCUGUCAAUCUUCAAUUGAUCGUCAGCUUGCUGACGAGCGGUUGAUAGGUUUUCAAUAGGAUGGAAUUCGAUAAAUUCGUUAAGGAUGUUGACGUA
RNAcentral lists this ribosomal RNA (309 nucleotides) under uncultured Glomeromycotina. RNAcentral's name for it is "LSU rRNA". The record is from RNAcentral. Lineage: Eukaryota; Fungi; Glomeromycota.